GACGAACGCUGGCGGCGUGCUUAACACAUGCAAGUCGAACGGUGAAGGGGUCUGCUUUUGUGGGCCCUGGAUGAGUGGCGAACGGGUGAGUAACACGUGAGUAACCUGCCCCCUUCUUCUGGAUAACCGCAUGAAAGUGUGGCUAAUACGGGAUAUUCUGGGUCUGUCGCAUGAUGGGUCUGGGAAAGAUUGCGCCUUUGGGUGUUUUUGGUGGGGGAUGGGCUCGCGGCCUAUCAGCUUGUUGGUGGGGUGAUGGCCUACCAAGGCGGUGACGGGUAGCCGGGCUGAGAGGGUGGACGGUCACACUGGGACUGAGACACGGCCCAGAAUCGUACGGGAGGCAGCAGUGGCGAAUAUUGCACAAUGGGCGCAAGCCUGAUGCAGCGACGCCGCGUGAGGGAUGGAGGCCUUCGGGUUGUAAACCUCUUUCGCCAGUGAAGCAGGCCUGCUCCUUGUGGGUGGGUUGACGGUAGCUGGAUAAGAAGCGCCGGCUAACUACGUG
This 502-nucleotide ribosomal RNA is filed under the name uncultured bacterium. RNAcentral describes it as "partial 16S ribosomal RNA". It matches the Rfam family "Bacterial small subunit ribosomal RNA", at positions 28 to 507 of the family's 1533-position model. The record is from RNAcentral.